This 432-nucleotide ribosomal RNA is filed under the name uncultured Vibrio sp. Its description in RNAcentral is "bacterial SSU rRNA". It matches the Rfam family "Bacterial small subunit ribosomal RNA", at positions 371 to 798 of the family's 1533-position model. Lineage: Bacteria; Pseudomonadati; Pseudomonadota; Gammaproteobacteria; Vibrionales; Vibrionaceae. The record is from RNAcentral.
AUCGGCGCAGCCUGAUGCAGCCUGCCGCGUGUGUGAAGAAUGCCUUCGGGUUGUAAAGCACUUUCCGUCGUGAGGAAGGUAGUGUAGUUAAUAGCUGCGUUAUUUGACGUUAGCGACGGAAGAAACACCGGCUAACUCCCUGCCAGCAGCCGCGGUAAUACGGAGGGUGCGAGCGUUAAUCGGAAUUACUGGGCGUAAAGCGCAAGCAGGUGGUUUGUUAAGUCAGAUGUGAAAGCCCGGGGCUCAACCUCGGAAUUGCAUUUGAAACUGGCAGACUAAAGUACUGUAGAGGGGGGUAGAAUUUCAGGUGUAGCGGUGAAAUGCGUAGAGAUCUGAAGGAAUACCGGUGGCUAAGGCGGCCCCCUGGACAGAUACUGACACUCAAAUGCUAAAGCGUGGGGAGCAAACAGGAUUAGAUACCCAGUAGUCCAC